GUUGUUUUGGCAGAAUAGUGCAAUUGAUUUAGGAUCUUUAUAUGUGUUUUUAGCACAAGUAACA
This 64-nucleotide transfer RNA is filed under the name Cerambycidae sp. 1 KM-2017. RNAcentral's name for it is "tRNA-Leu". Lineage: Eukaryota; Metazoa; Arthropoda; Insecta; Coleoptera; Cerambycidae. The record is from RNAcentral.